This 466-nucleotide ribosomal RNA is filed under the name uncultured bacterium. RNAcentral describes it as "bacterial SSU rRNA". It matches the Rfam family "Bacterial small subunit ribosomal RNA", at positions 331 to 794 of the family's 1533-position model. The record is from RNAcentral.
CCAGACUCCUACGGGAGGCAGCAGUGAGGAAUAUUGGUCAAUGGGCUUACGCCUGAACCAGCCAAGUCGCGUGAGGGAAGACUGCCCUAUGGGUUGUAAACCUCUUUUGUCAGGGAGCAAUUGGCGCUACGUGUAGCGUUAUCGAGAGUACCUGAAGAAAAAGCAUCGGCUAACUCCGUGCCAGCAGCCGCGGUAAUACGGAGGAUGCGAGCGUUAUCCGGAUUUAUUGGGUUUAAAGGGUGCGUAGGCGGGCGGUUAAGUCAGGGGUCAAAGGUCGGGGCUCAACCCCGGCCUGCCGUUGAAACUGGCGGGCUGGAGUUGGAGAGAAGUACGCGGAAUGCGCGGUGUAGCGGUGAAAUGCUUAGAUAUCGCGCAGAACCCCGAUUGCGAAGGCAGCGUACCGGCGCCACACUGACGCUGAGGCACGAAAGCGUGGGUAUCGAACAGGAUUAGAUACCCUAGUACU